UGGGGAAUUUUGGACAAUGGGCGAAAGCCUGAUCCAGCAAUGCCGCGUGUGUGAAGAAGGCCUUCGGGUUGUAAAGCACUUUUGUCCGGAAAGAAAUCCUUGGCUCUAAUACAGUCGGGGGAUGACGGUACCGGAAGAAUAAGCACCGGCUAACUACGUGCCAGCAGCCGCGGUAAUACGUAGGGUGCAAGCGUUAAUCGGAAUUACUGGGCGUAAAGCGUGCGCAGGCGGUUUGCUAAGACCGAUGUGAAAUCCCCGGGCUCAACCUGGGAACUGCAUUGGUGACUGGCAGGCUAGAGUAUGGCAGAGGGGGGUAGAAUUCCACGUGUAGCAGUGAAAUGCGUAGAGAUGUGGAGGAAUACCGAUGGCGAAGGCAGCCCCCUGGGCCAAUACUGACGCUCAUGCACGAAAGCGUGGGGAGCAAACAGGAUUAGAUACCCUGGUAGUCCACGCCCUAAAACGAUGUCAACUAGUUGUUGGGGAAUUCAUUUCCUUAGUAACGUAGCUAACGCGUGAAGUUGACCGCCU
This 528-nucleotide ribosomal RNA is filed under the name uncultured bacterium. RNAcentral's name for it is "partial 16S ribosomal RNA". It matches the Rfam family "Bacterial small subunit ribosomal RNA", at positions 355 to 874 of the family's 1533-position model. The record is from RNAcentral.